RNA transcript from Zingiber officinale, 2612 nucleotides. It is a transcript of the gene named hydroxyproline O-galactosyltransferase GALT6-like, with no coding region annotated. The record is from RefSeq and is a predicted model, not a curated record. The transcript has 8 exons. Lineage: Eukaryota; Viridiplantae; Streptophyta; Magnoliopsida; Zingiberales; Zingiberaceae.
CGUUUCGACCGACCUCCAAAGGAGCGGAGCGUCCUUUUCGCUCCGCACGAUCUCCUCCUCUGCCUCGUCUUUGAUUAGUUCUUGCGCUAACCGCGAUCGGCGCAAGCGAUCGGGAAUCCGGGGGUGGCUUUCGUUUCCGCCGUAGGUUCCUGAUCCAGGGGGUCGCCGGCGACCGGUGGGCCGGCUGUGGGGUUAGGAUGAGGAGGUCGCCCAAGGUGGAAGCGGCGCUAUCCCUCGGCCGGAAGCGGUCGCUGCAGGUCAUGCUCGUCGCCUUCCUACUUUAUGUCGCACUUGUUUUCAUCUUCGAGCUUCCUUUCCUCUCCCACGGGAUUCCCCCCGCCCUCUCUUCCGCUGGGUAUGCUGCCGCCGGGAUCUUCGGUGGAGACGGACUGAGCAUCCCUCUGAACCUCGGCGCCGAGGAUCGUGCCGCGCCGUUUCGUCCUUUGCACGGAACCCGCCGCCUGGGUGGCUCCGCCGGGGGACCUGCAGGCAUCCGCCUCCCGUCGGAGCGGAGGAGGACGAUGUCGGUCUCGGGACUCGAUUUCCUCUUCGACAGUUCCUCCGUUGGCAGAGGGCCAUUCUCUGGACUUCACAAGGCCGCGUGGGACGCGUGGGAGGUUGGGCAGAAGCUGCUCAAGGAGCUUAAAGCGGUGCCUUUGGCGUGGUCUGUGGCCGCCAAGGAGAAUCGAACUCAGGAGAAGUGCCCGCACUCGAUAAUACUCUCCGGGGAAGAGUUUCUUCAACGGGGGAAGGUGAUGGUUCUCCCCUGUGGGUUGACGUUGGGUUCUCACAUCACCCUCGUUGGGAAGCCGUACCAAGCCCACGCGGAGUACGACCCUAAAAUUGCGAUUUUGAACGAAGGGGAGAAGCAGGUUAUGGUGUCUCAGUUCAUGAUGGAGCUGCAGGGGCUUAAGACGGUGGAUGGGGAGGAUCCGCCUAGGAUCCUCCAUUUCAAUCCUCGGCUGAAGGGCGAUUGGAGCGGAAAGCCAGUUAUUGAGCAGAAUACUUGCUACCGAAUGCAGUGGGGAUCUGCCCAACGGUGCGAGGGAUGGAAAUCCUUGUUCAAUGAUGAAACUGUUGAUGGGCUCGUGAAGUGCGAAAAGUGGAUACGUGAUGAUGACAACCGGAUGGAAGAGUCAACAGCAACAUGGUGGUUAAACAGAUUAAUUGGUCGCACAAAAAAGAUAUCUAUGGACUGGCCAUAUCCAUUUGUGGAAGACAAGCUGUUUGUUCUCACUCUCAGUGCUGGGUUGGAAGGUUAUCAUGUCAACGUUGACGGUAGACAUGUGACGUCAUUCCCGUAUCGCACUGCUUAUGUUCUUGAGGAUGCAACUGGUCUGUCAGUGAAUGGCGAUCUUCAUGUGCAUAAUAUUUUUGCUGGCUCAUUGCCAACAUCUCAUCCUAGCUUUGCUCCACAGAAGAACCUAGAAAUGUCAUCUGAAUGGCAAGCGCCACCACUUCCGGAUGGGCCUGUUGAACUAUUCAUUGGCAUACUUUCUGCAGGCAAUCAUUUUGCAGAACGGAUGGCUGUCAGGAAAUCAUGGAUGCGUGCAGUUAGUAAGUCUUCUGAUAUGGUGGCUCGGUUUUUUGUUGCUCUGCAUGGAAGGAAGGAAGUGAACUUUGAAUUGAAGAAAGAGGCUGAGUUCUUCGGUGACAUUGUAAUCGUGCCUUUUCUAGAUAGCUAUGAUCUUGUCGUUCUCAAGACCGUUGCCAUAUGCGAAUACGGGGUUCGCAUUGUUUCUGCUCGCUAUAUAAUGAAAUGCGAUGAUGAUACCUUUGUUAGAAUUGAUCCUGUGAUGAACAAAGUCAAGACAGUUCCCAUUGAGAAAAGUCUGUAUAUUGGUAACAUAAACUACCACCACAAGCCCCUACGAGAAGGGAAAUGGGCGGUUACAUAUGAGGAAUGGCCUGAAGAGGAUUAUCCACCGUACGCCAAUGGUCCUGGAUACGUUGUAUCGUCCGACAUUGCUCGUUUUAUAAUAUCUGAUUUUGAGAAACAUAAAUUAAGGUUGUUCAAAAUGGAAGAUGUGAGCAUGGGCAUGUGGGUUGAGCAGUUUAAUAAAUCCCGAACUGUCGAAUACAUUCAUAGUCUCAAGUUUUGCCAGUUUGGAUGCAUAGAUGACUACUACACUGCACAUUACCAGUCCCCAAGACAAAUGACCUGCAUGUGGGAUAAAUUGCAAGCAGGAAAGCCUCAAUGCUGUAACAUGAGAUGAGGAUGGCAUGAAUGAGCCGCAAUGAUGCAAAAAAGUUCAUUAACGGUUUGAUCCACUUCGGUAGGCAGUUAAAGGCUAGUCAUGGAAAAGCAGCCCUGCCGAGCUGAGUUACAACCGAAACUGCAUCGUCGACGUUGUAAUGCCUUGAUGAAGUUGCGGCAGCUUUAGAAUCAACAUGUUCUUCUCAGAUUUUGUAGUUUAAACUCGGUAGCACCAGGCACACUGCCAUGACACAGAAUCAACAUGUUCUUCUAUAUGGUUGAACUUGUAUCAUAUUUUGAUUACCUCUGAUAACUACCACCUUCUUAUUCCUAUGAGUUGCUAAUGUAAUCUUUAGCAUCUUGCUGAAGAUCCUAAUUUUGUGAAUAAUCUACGACUUCGGGUUUGUUUCAUUUA